RNAcentral lists this ribosomal RNA (704 nucleotides) under Gambierdiscus cheloniae. RNAcentral's name for it is "LSU rRNA". It matches the Rfam family "Eukaryotic large subunit ribosomal RNA", at positions 33 to 954 of the family's 3401-position model. Lineage: Eukaryota; Dinophyceae; Gonyaulacales; Pyrocystaceae. The record is from RNAcentral.
AUUAAGCAUAUAAGUAGGCGGAGGAAAUGGCACAAAGUGGGGUUCCUCAGUUAGUUGCGAAUGAAAGAGAGAGAGGACUUCAGCUUGAUAUUCAAGGGCUCUGCCUUUGACAUGAAGAUUUGACAGUGUGCCAAAGGGAGGGUGGUGGAAAGUGGAUACUGUCUUGGAAGAGGGGUGUGAAAAAGGCAACGAGGGUGACAACCCUUUGACACUUGAUAUGUCUUCCUGCACGGCACCUUGUCUAGACUCAUGCUCUUUGAUAGUGGAGUGCAAAGUGGGUGGUAAAUCUCACUCAAAGCCAGAUACAAACAUUGGGGCCGACAGUGUACAAGUAUCGUGAGGGAAGUGUGAAAAGGACUUUGGAAAGAGAAUUAGAGGAGCCUGAACUUGCUGAAGAGCAAGCAUACAGGGUGGGAGAGUUUGGAGAGAUUUCCCUGCACGACCAUGCUUGUGGUCACCUUCGGUGCAAAAGGUUGUAUGGUGCAUACUGGCAUGAUGUGUGUGAGUGUCUCUUCUUGGAUCAAUCAUGAGGUUGAGGUUUGAGUCUGAGCGUGGCUGCUAGGACCCGAAAGAUGGUGAACUAUGCCUGGCAAGGGUCAAGGCAGGGGAAACUCUGAUGGAGGCUCGCAGCGUUACUGACGUGCAAAUCGUUCGUCGCAUUUGGGUAUAGGGGCGAAAGACUAAUCGAACCUUCUAGUAGCUGU